CUUGCUCCUUGGGUGGCGAGUGGCGGACGGGUGAGGAAUACAUCGGAAUCUACUCUGUCGUGGGGGAUAACGUAGGGAAACUUACGCUAAUACCGCAUACGACCUACGGGUGAAAGCAGGGGAUCUUCGGACCUUGCGCGAUUGAAUGAGCCGAUGUCGGAUUAGCUAGUUGGCGGGGUAAAGGCCCACCAAGGCGACGAUCCGUAGCUGGUCUGAGAGGAUGAUCAGCCACACUGGAACUGAGACACGGUCCAGACUCCUACGGGAGGCAGCAGUGGGGAAUAUUGGACAAUGGGCGCAAGCCUGAUCCAGCCAUACCGCGUGGGUGAAGAAGGCCUUCGGGUUGUAAAGCCCUUUUGUUGGGAAAGAAAUCCAGCUGGCUAAUACCCGGUUGGGAUGACGGUACCCAAAGAAUAAGCACCGGCUAACUUCGUGCCAGCAGCCGCGGUAAU
Molecule: ribosomal RNA, 452 nt
Filed under: uncultured Gammaproteobacteria bacterium
Lineage: Bacteria; Pseudomonadati; Pseudomonadota; Gammaproteobacteria
Description: bacterial SSU rRNA
Rfam family: Bacterial small subunit ribosomal RNA
Source: RNAcentral